AUACGGGGGGUGCAAGCGUUACUCGGAAUCACUGGGCGUAAAGCGCGCGCAGGCGGCUAUUUAAGUUGGAUGUGAAAGCCUACGGCUCAACCGUAGAACUGCAUCCAAAACUAUUUAGCUAGAGUGUGGGAGAGGAAGAUGGAAUUAGUUGUGUAGGGGUAAAAUCCGUAGAGAUAACUAGGAAUACCAAAAGCGAAGGCAAUCUUCUGGAACACUACUGACGCUGAGGCGCGAAAGCGUGGGGAGCAAACAGGAUUAGAUACCCUAGUAGUCC
Molecule: ribosomal RNA, 274 nt
Filed under: uncultured bacterium
Lineage: Bacteria
Description: partial 16S ribosomal RNA
Rfam family: Bacterial small subunit ribosomal RNA
Source: RNAcentral